GGCGAGCGUUAUCCGGAUUUACUGGGCGUAUAGAGCUCGUAGGCGGGACCUCAAGUCAGAUGUGAAAGCUCCCGGCUCAACUGGGAGAGGUCAUCUGAUACUGGGGUUCUUGAGGGCAGGAGAGGGAGGUGGAAUUCCCGGUGGGGCGGUGGAAUGCGUGGAGAUCGGGAGGAACACCAGUGGCGAAGGCGGCCUCCUGGCCUGUGCCUGACGCUGAGGAGCGAAAGCUAGGGGAGCGAACGGGAUUAGAGACCCCGGUAGUCCUAGCCGUAAACGAUGGAUACUAGGUGUUGGGGGUAUUGACCCCCCCAGUGUCGCAGCUAACGCGUUAAGUAUCCCGCCUGGGGACUACGGCCGCAAGGCUAAAACUCAAAGGAAUUGACGGGGCCCCGCACAAGCAGCGGAGCGUGUGGUUCAAUUCGAUGCUACGCGAAGAACCUUACCUGGGCUUGACAUGUCCGUGGUAGGAAGGCGAAAGCUGGACGACCCUUCGGGGAGCGGACACAGGUGCUGCAUGGCUGUCGUCAGCUCGUGCCGUGAGGUGUUAGGUUAAGUCCUGUAACGAGCGCAACCCCUGUUGCAUGUUACACGUAUCAUGCGAGACUGCCAAGGUAAAACUGGAGGAAGGUGGGGAUGACGUCAAGUCAGCAUGGCCUUUAUGUCCAGGGCUACACACACGCUACAAUGGCCGAUACAAUGGGUCGCGACACCGCGAGGUGGAGCUAAUCCUCAAAGUCGGCCCUAGUUCGGAUUGGAGUCUGCAACUCGACUCCAUGAAGCUGGAGUUGCUAGUAACCGCGCGUCAGCACAGUGCGGUGAAUACGUUCCCGGGGUUUG
RNAcentral lists this ribosomal RNA (837 nucleotides) under uncultured bacterium. RNAcentral's name for it is "bacterial SSU rRNA". It matches the Rfam family "Bacterial small subunit ribosomal RNA", at positions 533 to 1383 of the family's 1533-position model. The record is from RNAcentral.